AGCGAACGCUGGCGGCAGGCCUAACACAUGCAAGUCGAACGAACUCUUCGGAGUUAGUGGCGGACGGGUGAGUAACACGUGGGAACGUGCCUUUAGGUUCGGAAUAACUCAGGGAAACUUGUGCUAAUACCGAAUGUGCCCUUCGGGGGAAAGAUUUAUCGCCUUUAGAGCGGCCCGCGUCUGAUUAGCUAGUUGGUGAGGUAAAGGCUCACCAAGGCGACGAUCAGUAGCUGGUCUGAGAGGAUGAUCAGCCACAUUGGGACUGAGACACGGCCCAAACUCCUACGGGAGGCAGCAGUGGGGAAUCUUGCGCAAUGGGCGAAAGCCUGACGCAACCAUGCCGCGUGAAUGAUGAAGGUCUUAGGAUUGUAAAAUUCUUUCACCGGGGACGAUAAUGACGGUACCCGGAGAAGAAGCCCCGGCUAACUUCGU
This 432-nucleotide ribosomal RNA is filed under the name uncultured bacterium. Its description in RNAcentral is "partial 16S ribosomal RNA". It matches the Rfam family "Bacterial small subunit ribosomal RNA", at positions 29 to 506 of the family's 1533-position model. The record is from RNAcentral.